RNAcentral lists this ribosomal RNA (424 nucleotides) under uncultured Moheibacter sp. Its description in RNAcentral is "bacterial SSU rRNA". It matches the Rfam family "Bacterial small subunit ribosomal RNA", at positions 355 to 776 of the family's 1533-position model. The record is from RNAcentral. Lineage: Bacteria; Pseudomonadati; Bacteroidota; Flavobacteriia; Flavobacteriales; Weeksellaceae.
UGAGGAAUAUUGGACAAUGGGUGAGAGCCUGAUCCAGCCAUCCCGCGUGCAGGAAGACGGCCCUAUGGGUUGUAAACUGCUUUUAUACAGGAAUAAACCACCUUACGUGUAGGGUGUUGAAGGUACUGUAUGAAUAAGCACCGGCUAACUCCGUGCCAGCAGCCGCGGUAAUACGGAGGGUGCAAGCGUUAUCCGGAUUUAUUGGGUUUAAAGGGUCCGCAGGCGGACCUGUAAGUCAGGGGUGAAAGCCGGCAGCUUAACUGUCGAACUGCCUUUGAAACUGCAGGUCUUGAGUGAAAUUGAAGUAGCUGGAAUGAGUAGUGUAGCGGUGAAAUGCAUAGAUAUUACUCAGAACACCAAUAGCGAAGGCAGGUUACUAAAUUUCAACUGACGCUGAGGGACGAAAGCGUGGGGAGCGAACAGG